AACUCACAAUAAUAAAUUAGAAUUUCAAAAACUCAAACACGGUUCAUAUCAACAAACAUUAAUGUCACAUUUCAUGAAAUGUCAAAACACUAAUAACAGUGUUGCCAAAACUAAUGUAAAUGUGAUGGCGCCACCAGUACUAAAAUACUACACUGCGCUAGGACGCGUGCUUAUGAUUCAGGUCAAGGUGCAUUUUCCAAGGCGACGAUUGCAAUCGUCCACGUUUUUUUUUCAAAUCGGGCGUCAAAAAAACCACAAAUAAUAAAUCGUUCACGAUUUUGGCGUCAAAAAAACCAUUGAUCUCAAUCGUUAACGAUUUUGGCCAACGAUUUGAAAUCGUACACGAUUGUAAUCGCCGCCUUGGAAAAUGGACCUUCAGAUAAAAAAAAUUAUCGGUUGUGAUCCGGGCUACAGAGAAUUUGUGGGGGUCGUACGCAAAGAUUUGGCAACCGAUAAUGAAGAAAAUUUUCUGAAAUCAUCGGAAGAGUGGCACCAUAUGACCGGUUUUUUCGACCGUCAAUACAAACUGAAGCGAUUUACGGGCGCGUUUGAGAAAAAAUGUCGUAAGCUGCGCGAAAAUCGCGAAAUCUAUGAGGAAAUGCCAUCGAAGAAAAGUUCUGACUACCUUACCUAUCUGGAUUACCAGCUGGAUGUAUUCAAUGAAUCAUGCGAGAUAAAGUACCAAAAACGUGUGGGUCGUUUUAAGUUUGAUGCAUUUAGACGUAUGCAGGUAGCAUUGCAUGUGUUGGUGAAGCAAAUGACAAAAGUCGAUCGUAGAAUGUCGGAUGCUGAGAAAACAUUGUGAUAUUGGCAUUUGGUGGUGCAAAAUUUUCAUCAAACUCACCCAUCAAAGGAUAUCUACGGUGUCCGCAUCGAGCAUUGCAACAAAUGGCACGUGAAUAUGUAUUCGUUUUGCCAAUCAACGAACACAAUACAUCCCAGAAAUGCAGUCCACGUAAGCUCAAGAAACGAAGAAGUGUGCCAGAACGUCAAUCAAAAGACUGUUUUCUAGUUUGCCCCAACUGUAAACCGGUCGAAGAUGGCGUUUUUCACGAUCCAAUUCAAUGGACAGGCAAAGUUCAUAGUACUUUCAAAAAGAAACAUCAAGAAUGGAAAUACAGUUCCAUAUGUACAUUCCAUCGACCGCUUCCAGAAGCAAAUCCAAAUCCACAACCAAGACGAAAGAAAAAUAAAUUCGAGAAGCUGGAACCCAAGGAACGGAAAACAACAGUUAUAUUCAAUCGCGAUAUAAAUGCAGCGAGAAAUAUGAUUAAGAAAGGAUUGUACAUGUUGAAUCAUCUGCUGAUGCCAAAUUGUUUCCGACCAUUCAUGCAUCAACUCCAUUAUUAUUACAACAAUUAAAUUCAACAAUCAAAAAUAUAAGCACGGACGUCUACGCGAACAUUCUCAUAUACUAGAAAUAGUAUAUACUCUUGUAAUGUACCCUCUGGGUAGCUUUCAUCGCAAAUGUACUUUCAUGCAUUCUAACUGAUUUUUUGUGCCGUUUUUGCAUUGUAGCGAAUCAUUUUAUUUCGGUGAUUCCAUUUUCGUACUAACAGCGCGCAUCAUCUCAGAAAAAAAUCAUACACACGUCCCAAUAUGGAAAAGAACAUCAUUUUUGAUAAUUAAAAUUCAUUCGCUUUUUUGAAUAUAUUUUGGAAAUAUUUUAAUUUAAUGAAUUUAAGACAAUUAUGCUUAUGAUUUUUUACUUGCUUCCAAUCCAAAUUUAAGCAAUAAUGAGAUAAAGUUUGUAAAAUUCAAAAAGGAGACAUUCGGAAUUUUUUUCGUGUCAUGUUAUGAAAUUCCAAAAAGCAAAAAUAUAAAAAAACUCUAUAAUUAUCUUGAAUGCAGUUUGAAAAUAGGUAAAUUUUUUAAUCAUAUCCCUGUUUUGCUCUAUACUGCGUAAAUAUUUUCUCUAUUCAAUUGUAUUCAGUGAAAAAACAGUCAAUAUCAAUAAGAUACACUGUCAUAUUAUCGUCAUAUUAUAACUUUAUUAAUCUUUCCAGAACUUUUUUGGACCGUUGCUAUUGUUUAAUUUUCGGUUUUAUUUAUAUUAAAAUGGGGCCACCUAAAGUCCCUUUUUUUAGCACGUAAACACAGUUUAGCUGUUAAUCUAUAUGUAUAAAGUUAGUCGUAAGGUAAAAUAUCUUAAUUCAGUCGUAAGACCUUUGAUUUUUAUUCGUAUUAUAUAUUAUUUUGAACCGAA
Molecule: RNA transcript, 2206 nt
Organism: Contarinia nasturtii (swede midge)
Lineage: Eukaryota; Metazoa; Arthropoda; Insecta; Diptera; Cecidomyiidae
Exons: 5
Source: RefSeq, a predicted model, not a curated record